RNAcentral lists this long non-coding RNA (1883 nucleotides) under Phascolarctos cinereus (koala). RNAcentral describes it as "lncRNA (ENSPCIG00000013520.2)". Lineage: Eukaryota; Metazoa; Chordata; Mammalia; Diprotodontia; Phascolarctidae. The record is from RNAcentral.
UAAAGGCACAGAAACUCUAGGUGAAGCCAAUACUCAGCUUUCUCUCUUUCCACUCAGUCCUCUAAGCUUUAUGCUGCCACCAUUUGGAGCCAUUAUAUAACUGAUUAUUUGCAUUAUUAUAAAAAUCAUUUGACUAAAUAACUUCCUUACCACGAUUAUAUAACAAAAUUCUACAUAAUAAGGGAGCCUUAUGAGAUUAUAGAACUCAUAGACCUCUUUCUAGUUAGUGUUUCUGUUUUUUUUUUUCUGGGUGUAUUACUAGCAAACUUUUUUGGUGACCUGUUGCUUAGCAACUGGCAUCACUAGGAAGUGUUUGCACUCUAGUAAGACAUUCUAGUUAAGGAUCUCGGUGGUCACGUACCCUUUGCCACCAGAAGGAAAUUAAUUUUUAAUCAUGCAAAGAACUUGAAAAGCUGCCACUGAGAAGGGGCCAUCUGUGGCUAUGGCAGACUUUUUUUUUUUUGGCUCCAGAAAUAGUAUUGCCCUUUAGCCCACUGUCUUCUGAGCAGUUCAACAAGAUUAGACGUGCUGCUGAAAAAUCCUGGAAGAAUGAAACUCGAUGGUCGAUACAUAUCCAACAACAUAUGGGGCCCAUUUCCGGAGAAAAAAACUGGACGAACCCCCAAGUAUCCAACCGUUCUCUGAAACAAGAGUAAACAACCCUCAUCCACACGAAUUGUUUCUAGUAAACAACAUCCAUUAUCUUCCUGGAUAUUACAACUCUAAAACACCAGCGCCUGAAAAAAAUAAAGUUUCCUGUCCAGAGAUUACGACUUUCUUUAAAGAUUCAAUGAAUAUUAAGCGACGAGUGGCAGAGGUGAUCCGGAAAUGGUCCUCCAGCUUGGAGGGUAGCCGGAGCUCAGGGCAGAAGAACCAGGAAUAACCCCCAGACCUUGUGGGCACAAGGAAGGCCAUGUACCAAGAAGAAUGUCGGUCUUAUUAGCUCCACUUUAGCUUCAGUCCAUUAUAGAAUAUCUUACCACAGGGGAUGUUUCUGGGGAUUUGUUUCAAGAGCAAAUGACAUUUCCCCCUCCCUUAGAAGUAACUACACUUUUCUCUAGGACCCCAUCUCCACUGAAGAUUGAUCUAAACUAAAAAUCAUCUUUAGUCCUGGAAGGUAAUCAUAAUAAUGACAUUUAUGUACAGGGCAUUUUAAGAUUUUCAAAGCACUUUACGUGUUAUCUUAUUUGAUCCUCUUAUAAAUAGAACUUGAACCUGAAAGGGUAUCAUGUUCUUCUACAACUUUGCUCAUGGAUGCUCAAUUUCUAUUUGGGGAACUUCCAAUCUUACUUCCUUUGUCAACCUUAGGAAAUCCAUGUGCAACCAACAAUCUUGAGGACAGACAUUGUCCCAGUCCUUCCUUCCCUGCCUCCUGCCUCGUCCUGGGAGACUCUAUUUCUUGCCGCUUUGUGGUUUUCGUCCUGACAGAUAACAGCAUAGGAUGAGAUGCUGAGUGUAGUGGAAAGAAAACCGGCCUCAGAGUCACCUCCUCUCAAUUGGAAUCAUGGCUUGGAUUCUUACUAGCUGUAUGAACAUGACCAAGCCUCAUCUUACUCUGAUCAACUGCAGAUACUAAGAGUUGCACUAACCACCUCACAAGCCUUUGUGAGGAAAAUGCUUUGUAAACCUUAAAGCACUAUAUAUGCAGAUGGAUUUUUGUUAUUAUAAAAUGUAUAGAUAGAAAGGACAUUGGCAGGCUGGGCAGGUCUGGAGGAGGUGACCAACAUGGUGAAGGAGAUGACAGAUCUGCUGAAAGAGCUAAGGAUGUUCAGCCUGCAUAAGAGAUGUGCGUGAUUCAUGAACAGAUGUCUUCAAGGAUCUGAAAGGCUCUCAUGCAGGUGACCUGGGUAGCUAGGGUAGAUAGUGGAUAUUGAACCUGGAGU